Molecule: long non-coding RNA, 329 nt
Filed under: Ananas comosus (pineapple)
Lineage: Eukaryota; Viridiplantae; Streptophyta; Magnoliopsida; Poales; Bromeliaceae
Description: long non-coding RNA (ACOM_LNC007187)
Source: RNAcentral
GAUCCGGAAAGGUGAUAUCUUUCCUUGCUCUUUGUCUUAGUUUGUUUUAUUGAUAAUGUAAUGUUUUGUCUGGUGCUUAUUGCAUAUUUGUAUUCAUUGCAUUACAUGUUUGGACGAUUUUUGGUGCUUGAAUUUUAUGUGUUUUUAAAAUCUUUUGAGGAAAGGUGAUAGGGAAUUAAAAAAUUUCUUUUAGAAAAGAGAUGAUUGAAAAUCAUUAUUUUGGGGGAGAUUAAAUUCUUUUCAAAGUGUUUAAAACGGUAUUUUCACAUUCAUAUUAAAUUAAAUUCAUAUUAAUUAUCGGUUUUACUCCACUUUUUAUUAUUUUGACG